This 374-nucleotide ribosomal RNA is filed under the name uncultured bacterium. Its description in RNAcentral is "bacterial SSU rRNA". It matches the Rfam family "Bacterial small subunit ribosomal RNA", at positions 527 to 898 of the family's 1533-position model. The record is from RNAcentral.
GUAGGGUGCGAGCGUUGUCCGGAAUUAUUGGGCGUAAAGGGCUCGUAGGCGGUCUGUUGCGUCGGGAGUGAAAACCCAGGGCUUAACUCUGGGCUUGCUCCCGAUACGGGCUGACUAGAGGUAUGCAGGGGAGAACGGAAUUCCUGGUGUAGCGGUGAAAUGCGCAGAUAUCAGGAGGAACACCGGUGGCGAAGGCGGUUCUCUGGGCAUUACCUGACGCUGAGGAGCGAAAGUGUGGGGAGCGAACAGGAUUAGAUACCCUGGUAGUCCACACCGUAAACGUUGGGCGCUAGGUGUGGGACUCAUUCCACGAGUUCCGUGCCGCAGCUAACGCAUUAAGCGCCCCGCCUGGGGAGUACGGCCGCAAGGCUAAA